CAAAUGGCGAAGCGUAGGGAAACCGAGUCUGAAGAGGGCGUUUGUCAGUGCUUAUAGACCCGAACCCGGGUGAUCUAACCAUGGCCAGGAUGAAGCUUGGGUAACACCAAGUGGAGGUCCGAACCGACCGAUGUUGAAAAAUCGGCGGAUGAGCUGUGGUUAGGGGUGAAAUGCCAAUCGAACCCGGAGCUAGCUGGUUCUCCCCGAAAUGCGUUGAGGCGCAGCGGUUGCCAUACCGGUUGGGGGUAGAGCACUGUUUCGGUGCGGGCGGCGAGAGCUGUACCAAAUCGAGGCAAACUCCGAAUACCAGCCGUUGAGGCAGCUAGUGAGACGGUGGGGGAUAAGCUUCAUCGUCGAGAGGGAAACAGCCCAGACCACCAGCUAAGGUCCCCAAAUUAUGGCUAAGUGGCAAAGGAGGUGGGAGUGCAGAGACAACCAGGAGGUUGGCCUAGAAGCAGCCAUCCUUAAAAGAGUGCGUAAUAGCUCACUGGUCAAGCGCUCCUGCGCCGAAAAUGAACGGGACUAAGCCAUAUACCGAAGCUGUGGACAGGUGACUGUGGUAGGGGAGCGUUCUGGGUGGGGUGAAGCACCAGCGGAAGCAGGUGUGGACUGCCCAGAAGUGAGAAUGUCGGCUUGAGUAGCGAAAACAUUGGUGAGAAUCCAAUGCCCCGGAAACCCAAGGGUUCCGCUGCCAGGUUCGUCCGCGGCGGGUGAGUCAGGGCCUAAGGCGAGGCCGAAAGGCGUAGUCGAUGGACAACGGGUCAACAUUCCCGUACCGUGUGCGGAUUGUGCUGGGGGACGGAGGAGGCUAGGCCAGCGAGGUGAUGGUUACUCGUGCAAGUGUCCGACGCGAUGAGGGACGGCGAAAACGUCCUGAGCCGAGGCGCGAGUCCGAGGGACUACGGUCCCGAAGUGGCUGACGUCAGACUCCCGAGAAAAGCCCAAACACGUUAAGCACACGCCUGUACCCAAAACCGACACAGGUGGGUUGGUAGAGGAUACCAAGGGGCGCGAGCUAACUCUCUCUAAGGAACUCGGCAAAAUGGCCCCGUAAGUUCGCAAGAAGGGGUGCCCCCGCAAGGGGGUCGCAGUGAAGAGGCUCUGGCAACUGUUUACCAAAAACACAGGUCUCUGCUAAGUCGUAAGACGACGUAUAGGGGCUGACGCCUGCCCAGUGCCGGAAGGUCAAGGAAGCUGGUUAGCGCAAGCGAAGCUGGCGACCGAAGCCCCGGUGAACGGCGGCCGUAACUAUAACGGUCCUAAGGUAGCGAAAUUCCUUGUCGGGUAAGUUCCGACCCGCACGAAAGGCGUAAUGACUUGGGCGCUGUCUCGGAGAGGGACUCGGCGAAAUAGACUUGUCUGUGAAGAUGCGGACUACCUGCACCUGGACAGAAAGACCCUAUGAAGCUUUACUGUAGCCUGGAAUGGGGUUCGGGCCUUGCCUGCGCAGGAUAGGUGGGAGACAAAGAAGUACCCCUUGCGGGGGGUAUGGAGUCGCCGGUGAGAUACCACUCUGGCAAGGCUAGAAUUCUAACUUUCUGCCCGGAAGCGGGGGAAAGGACAGUUUCAGGUGGGCAGUUUGACUGGGGCGGUCGCCUCCUAAAGGGUAACGGAGGCGUGCAAAGGUUCCCUCAGGCUGGUUGGAAAUCAGCCGUUGAGUGCAAAGGCAUAAGGGAGCUUGACUGCAAGACCGACAAGUCGAGCAGGGACGAAAGUCGGCCUUAGUGAUCCGACGGCGCUGAGUGGAAGGGCCGUCGCUCAACGGAUAAAAGUUACUCUAGGGAUAACAGGCUGAUCUCCCCCAAGAGUUCACAUCGACGGGGAGGUUUGGCACCUCGAUGUCGGCUCAUCGCAACCUGGGGCGGUAGUACGUCCCAAGGGUUGGGCUGUUCGCCCAUUAAAGCGGUACGUGAGCUGGGUUCAGAACGUCGUGAGACAGUUCGGUCCAUAUCCGGUGUGGGCGUUAGAGCAUUGAGAGGACCUUUCCCUAGUACGAGAGGACCGGGAAGGACGCACCUCUGGUGUGCCAGUUAUCGUGCCCACGGUAAACGCUGGGUAGCCAAGUGCGGAGCGGAUAACUGCUGAAAGCAUCUAAGUAGUAAACCCACCCCAAGAUGAGUGCUCUCCUAUUCCGACUUCCCCAGAGCCUCCGGUAGCACAGCCGAGACAGCGAUGGGUUCU
Molecule: ribosomal RNA, 2181 nt
Filed under: hot springs metagenome
Description: bacterial LSU rRNA
Rfam family: Bacterial large subunit ribosomal RNA
Source: RNAcentral